AAGUCGAACGGUAACAGGAAGCAGCUUGCUGCUUCGCUGACGAGUGGCGGACGGGUGAGUAAUGUCUGGGAAACUGCCUGAUGGAGGGGGAUAACUACUGGAAACGGUAGCUAAUACCGCAUAACGUCGCAAGACCAAAGAGGGGGACCUUCGGGCCUCUUGCCAUCGGAUGUGCCCAGAUGGGAUUAGCUAGUAGGUGGGGUAACGGCUCACCUAGGCGACGAUCCCUAGCUGGUCUGAGAGGAUGACCAGCCACACUGGAACUGAGACACGGUCCAGACUCCUACGGGAGGCAGCAGUGGGGAAUAUUGCACAAUGGGCGCAAGCCUGAUGCAGCCAUGCCGCGUGUAUGAAGAAGGCCUUCGGGUUGUAAAGUACUUUCAGCGGGGAGGAAGGGAGUAAAGUUAAUACCU
RNAcentral lists this ribosomal RNA (413 nucleotides) under Escherichia coli. RNAcentral describes it as "bacterial SSU rRNA". It matches the Rfam family "Bacterial small subunit ribosomal RNA", at positions 59 to 468 of the family's 1533-position model. The record is from RNAcentral. Lineage: Bacteria; Pseudomonadati; Pseudomonadota; Gammaproteobacteria; Enterobacterales; Enterobacteriaceae.